AUAGGGGAGCCGUAGGGAAACCGAGUCUUAACCGGGCGUUAAGUUGCAGGGUAUAGACCCGAAACCCGGUGAUCUAGCCAUGGGCAGGUUGAAGGUUGGGUAACACUAACUGGAGGACCGAACCGACUAAUGUUGAAAAAUUAGCGGAUGACUUGUGGCUGGGGGUGAAAGGCCAAUCAAACCGGGAGAUAGCUGGUUCUCCCCGAAAGCUAUUUAGGUAGCGCCUCGUGAAUUCAUCUUCGGGGGUAGAGCACUGUUUCGGCUAGGGGGUCAUCCCGACUUACCAACCCGAUGCAAACUGCGAAUACCGGAGAAUGUUAUCACGGGAGACACACGGCGGGUGCUAACGUCCGUCGUGAAGAGGGAAACAACCCAGACCGCCAGCUAAGGUCCCAAAGUCAUGGUUAAGUGGGAAACGAUGUGGGAAGGCCCAGACAGCCAGGAUGUUGGCUUAGAAGCAGCCAUCAUUUAAAGAAAGCGUAAUAGCUCACUGGUCGAGUCGGCCUGCGCGGAAGAUGUAACGGGGCUAAACCAUGCACCGAAGCUGCGGCAGCGACACUGUGUGUUGUUGGGUAGGGGAGCGUUCUGUAAGCCUGCGAAGGUGGCCUGUGAGGGUUGCUGGAGGUAUCAGAAGUGCGAAUGCUGACAUAAGUAACGAUAAAGCGGGUGAAAAGCCCGCUCGCCGGAAGACCAAGGGUUCCUGUCCAACGUUAAUCGGGGCAGGGUGAGUCGACCCCUAAGGCGAGGCCGAAAGGCGUAGUCGAUGGGAAACAGGUUAAUAUUCCUGUACUUGGUGUUACUGCGAAGGGGGGACGGAGAAGGCUAUGUUGGCCGGGCGACGGUUGUCCCGGUUUAAGCGUGUAGGUGUGUGUUCCAGGUAAAUCCGGUUCACUUUAACACUGAGGCGUGAUGACGAGGCACUACGGUGCUGAAGCAACAAAUGCCCUGCUUCCAGGAAAAGCCUCUAAGCAUCAGGUAACAUCAAAUCGUACCCCAAACCGACACAGGUGGUCAGGUAGAGAAUACCAAGGCGCUUGAGAGAACUCGGGUGAAGGAACUAGGCAAAAUGGUGCCGUAACUUCGGGAGAAGGCACGCUGACAUGUAGGUGAAG
RNAcentral lists this ribosomal RNA (1112 nucleotides) under Salmonella enterica. RNAcentral describes it as "partial 23S ribosomal RNA". It matches the Rfam family "Bacterial large subunit ribosomal RNA", at positions 657 to 1767 of the family's 2925-position model. The record is from RNAcentral. Lineage: Bacteria; Pseudomonadati; Pseudomonadota; Gammaproteobacteria; Enterobacterales; Enterobacteriaceae.